CGAAGCUGACGGAGCACGCCGCGUGAGUGAUGAAGGUUUCGGAUCGUAAAACUCUGUUGUAGGGAAGAACAAGUGCAUAGUAACUGAUGGCGCCUUGACGGUACCUAACCAGAAAGCCACGGCUAACUACGUGCCAGCAGCCGCGGUAAUACGUAGGUGGCAAGCGUUGUCCGGAAUAUGGGCGUAAGCGCUCGCAUGCGGUUCUUUAAGUCUGAUGUGAAAUCUUACGGCUCAACCGUAAACGUGCAUUGGAACACUGGGGAACUUGAGUGCAGAACAGGAGAGUGGAAUUCCACGUGUAAGCGGUGAAAUGCGUAAGAUGUGGAGGAACACAGUGGCGAGGCGAUCUCUGGUCUGUACUGACGCUGAAGGAGCGAAAGCGUGGGGAGCGAACAGGAUUAGAUACCCUGGUAGUCCACG
This 420-nucleotide ribosomal RNA is filed under the name uncultured bacterium. RNAcentral describes it as "bacterial SSU rRNA". It matches the Rfam family "Bacterial small subunit ribosomal RNA", at positions 378 to 799 of the family's 1533-position model. The record is from RNAcentral.